GCCUACGGGAGGCAGCAGUCGGGAAUAUUGCGCAAUGGAGGAAACUCUGACGCAGUGACGCCGCGUAUAGGGCGAAGGUCUUCGGAUUGUAAACUAUUGUCGUUAGGGAAGAGAAAGGACAGUACCUAAGGAGGAAGCUCCGGCUAACUACGUGCCAGCAGCCGCGGUAAUACGUAGGGAGCAAGCGUUAUCCGGAUUUACUGGGUGUAAAGGGCGCGUAGGCGGGAUGGCAAGUCAGAUGUGAAAUCCAGGGGCUCAACCCCUGAACUGCAUUUGAAACUGUCGUUCUUGAGUACUGGAGAGGU
This 305-nucleotide ribosomal RNA is filed under the name uncultured bacterium. RNAcentral's name for it is "bacterial SSU rRNA". It matches the Rfam family "Bacterial small subunit ribosomal RNA", at positions 337 to 658 of the family's 1533-position model. The record is from RNAcentral.